RNAcentral lists this ribosomal RNA (375 nucleotides) under uncultured bacterium. Its description in RNAcentral is "bacterial SSU rRNA". It matches the Rfam family "Bacterial small subunit ribosomal RNA", at positions 30 to 406 of the family's 1533-position model. The record is from RNAcentral.
AUUGAACGCUGGCGGCAUGCCUUACACAUGCAAGUCGAACGGCAGCGCGGGGCAACCUGGCGGCGAGUGGCGAACGGGUGAGUAAUAUAUCGGAACGUACCCUAGAGUGGGGGAUAACGUAGCGAAGUUACGCUAAUACCGCAUACGAUCUAAGGAUGAAAGUAGGGGGAGUCGCAAGACCUCAUGCUCGUGGAGCGGCCGAUAUCUGAUUAGCUAGUUGGUGGGGUAAAGGCCUACCAAGGCAUCGAUCAGUAGCUGGUCUGAGAGGACGACCAGCCACACUGGAACUGAGACACGGUCCAGACUCCUACGGGAGGCAGCAGUGGGGAAUUUUGGACAAUGGGCGCAAGCCUGAUCCAGCAAUGCCGCGUGAGU